This 71-nucleotide transfer RNA is filed under the name Cypseloides fumigatus (Sooty swift). RNAcentral describes it as "tRNA-Val". Lineage: Eukaryota; Metazoa; Chordata; Aves; Apodiformes; Apodidae. The record is from RNAcentral.
CAAGACGUAGCAUAACAAAAGCAUUCAGCUUACACCUGAAAGAUGUCUGCAACCCACACAGAUCGUCUUGA